RNAcentral lists this ribosomal RNA (229 nucleotides) under uncultured bacterium. Its description in RNAcentral is "partial 16S ribosomal RNA". It matches the Rfam family "Bacterial small subunit ribosomal RNA", at positions 568 to 796 of the family's 1533-position model. The record is from RNAcentral.
CGCGUAGGCGGUCUUUUAAGUCAGGUGUGAAAGCCCGGGGCUCAACCCCGGAAGUGCACUUGAAACUAUGAGACUUGAGUAUGGGAGAGGGAAGUGGAAUUCCUGGUGUAGCGGUGAAAUGCGUAGAUAUCAGGAGGAACAUCGGUGGCGAAGGCGACUUCCUGGACCAAUACUGACGCUGAGGCGCGAAGGCGUGGGGAGCAAACAGGAUUAGAUACCCUGGUAGUCC